This 202-nucleotide unclassified non-coding RNA is filed under the name Hevea brasiliensis (rubber tree). The record is from RNAcentral. Lineage: Eukaryota; Viridiplantae; Streptophyta; Magnoliopsida; Malpighiales; Euphorbiaceae.
AUGGGCUAGGGGUGAACGAGGUCGUCAUCGUGAUGGGUCCAAGUCAAUGGCAAAUCAGAGGCCAACAAAAACCCUGUUUGUGAUCAAUUUUGACCCGAUUCGCACAAGAGUUCGUGAUAUUGAAAGACAUUUUGAACCUUAUGGGAAGGUGCUCAAUGUUCGCAUUAGAAGGAAUUUUGCAUUUGUACAAUUUGAGACGCAG